RNAcentral lists this small RNA (524 nucleotides) under Pan troglodytes (chimpanzee). RNAcentral's name for it is "retained intron". The record is from RNAcentral. Lineage: Eukaryota; Metazoa; Chordata; Mammalia; Primates; Hominidae.
GCCUUCGACGUGGCGUUUUCUUCGGUUUCACUUCCGGUGGGAAGGAUAUGUGCAAGAUAAAGCAGCCAGGGAUUUAAGUCUGGCAACAGUUGGACUGCUGGAUUUUCAGAGAAGUGUUCCCCAAAGCAAAUUAUGGUGCUAAUUUCCAAUAUUCCAUAAGCGUGGCAAGAAAAAUGGGAAGUUCUCGGUAAGGUAUAUAGUAUUAUUUCUAGAAAUAAAGAUGAACCAAUCCAAGAUUGAUUUUUUGUUUGUUUAAUCCUGGCAGUAUUCUUAACUAAAUCGUAUUCAUUCUUCCCUUUAGUUUCCAGACUUUUAAAUUUUAUUUAUUUAUUUAUUUUUUGAGACAGAGUCUCGCCCAGGCUGGAGUGCAGUGCCACAAUCUUGGCUUACUGCAACCUCUGCCUCCCUGGUUCAAGCGAUUCUCCUGCCUCACCCUCCCAAGUAGCUGGGACUACAGGCACGUGCCAUCACGCCAGGCUAAUUUUUGCAUUUUUAGUACAGAUGGGGUUUUACAUAUUGAUCAG